This 440-nucleotide ribosomal RNA is filed under the name uncultured Hyphomicrobiales bacterium. RNAcentral describes it as "bacterial SSU rRNA". It matches the Rfam family "Bacterial small subunit ribosomal RNA", at positions 79 to 543 of the family's 1533-position model. Lineage: Bacteria; Pseudomonadati; Pseudomonadota; Alphaproteobacteria; Hyphomicrobiales. The record is from RNAcentral.
CUUGCUCUGGUGGAAAGUGGCAGACGGGUGAGUAACGCGUGGGAAUUUACCCAGUGGUUCGGAAUAACUCCGGGAAACCGGUGCUAAUACCGAAUACGCCCCCCGGGGGAAAGAUUUAUCGCCAUUGGAUGAGCCCGCGUCGGAUUAGCUUGUUGGUGGGGUAAUGGCCUACCAAGGCAACGAUCCGCAGCUGGUCUGAGAGGAUGAUCAGCCACACUGGGACUGAGACACGGCCCAGACUCCUACGGGAGGCAGCAGUGGGGAAUAUUGGACAAUGGGCGCAAGCCUGAUCCAGCCAUGCCGCGUGAGUGAAGAAGGCCUUAGGGUUGUAAAACUCUUUCAGUGGUGAAGAUAAUGACGGUAGCCACAGAAGAAGCCCCGGCCAACUCCGUGCCAGCAGCCGCGGUAAUACGGAGGGGGUUAGCGUUGAAGCCGAAUUC